RNAcentral lists this ribosomal RNA (2278 nucleotides) under Pseudonocardia sp. P1. RNAcentral describes it as "bacterial LSU rRNA". It matches the Rfam family "Bacterial large subunit ribosomal RNA", at positions 3 to 2106 of the family's 2925-position model. Lineage: Bacteria; Bacillati; Actinomycetota; Actinomycetes; Pseudonocardiales; Pseudonocardiaceae. The record is from RNAcentral.
UCAAGUUGUUAAGAGCACAUGGUGGAUGCCUGGGCAUCAGGAGCCGAUGAAGGACGUGGGAGGCCGCGAUAGUCCUCGGGGAGUUGUCAACCGAACUGUGAUCCGAGGGUGUCCGAAUGGGGAAACCCAGCACCCGUCAUGGGGUGUUACCCGUACCUGAAUUCAUAGGGUGCGUGGAGGGAACGUGGGGAAGUGAAACAUCUCAGUACCCACAGGAAGAGAAAACAACAGUGAUUCCGUGAGUAGUGGCGAGCGAAAGCGGAAGAGGCUAAACCGUGUCCGUGUCAAGCCGGCAGGUGUUGCGGAUGCGGGGUUGUGAGACGUGCUGUUCAUCUUCUGCCGAGGAUGGGACGGUCCAGUGUUUGUGUUAGCGGAACGACUCUGGGAUGGUCGGCCGUAGUGGGUGAGAGCCCCGUACGCGAAAGCAUGAGUCUGGUCGUGGGCAUUGUUCUCGAGUAGCAGCGAGCUCGUGGAAUUUGCUGUGAAUCUGGCGGGACCACCCGUCAAGCCUAAAUACUACCUGGUGACCGAUAGCGGACUAGUACCGUGAGGGAAAGGUGAAAAGUACCCCGGGAGGGGAGUGAAAUAGUACCUGAAACCGUGUGCUUACAAGCCGUCAGAGCCUGGAGCAGUCUUGUGCUGCAGGGUGAUGGCGUGCCUUUUGAAGAAUGAGCCUGCGAGUUAUGCUUCGUGGCGAGGUUAACCCGUUGUGGGGUAGCCGUAGCGAAAGCGAGUCCGAAUAGGGCGGUGGAGUCGCGGGGUGUAGACCCGAAGCGGAGUGAUCUACCCAUGGCCAGGGUGAAGCGUCGGUAAGACGUCGUGGAGGCCCGAACCCACCAGGGUUGAAAACCUGGGGGAUGAGCUGUGGGUAGGGGUGAAAGGCCAAUCAAACUUCGUGAUAGCUGGUUCUCCCCGAAAUGCAUUUAGGUGCAGCGUCGUGUGUUUCUCAUCGGAGGUAGAGCACUGGAUGGCCUAGGGGGCCGACAAGCUUACCGAAGUCAGCCAAACUCCGAAUGCCGGUGAGUGAGAGCGCGGCAGUGAGACUGCGGGGGAUAAGCUUCGUGGUCGAGAGGGAAACAGCCCAGAUCACCGGCUAAGGCCCCUAAGCGUGCGCUAAGUGGGAAAGGAUGUGGGAUCGCCCGGACAACCAGGAGGUUGGCUUAGAAGCAGCCACCCUUGAAAGAGUGCGUAAUAGCUCACUGGUCAAGUGGUCCUGCGCCGACAAUGUAGCGGGGCUCAAGCGCACCGCCGAAGCCGUGGCAAUGACACUGUUGUGUUGUUGGGUAGGGGAGCGUCCUGCAUCUGGUGAAGCCCGGGAGUGAUUUACGGGUGGAGGGUGUGGGAGUGAGAAUGCAGGCAUGAGUAGCGAAUGCAGAGUGAGAAUCUCUGCCGCCGGAUGACCAAGGGUUCCUGGGCCAGGUUGUUCCGCCCAGGGUGAGCCGGGACCUAAGGCGAGGCCGUCAGGCGUAGUCGAUGGACAACGGGUUGAUAUUCCCGUGCUCGUGAUAGUGCGUCCAUGCCGGGGCCGGUGAUGCUAACCAUCCGAACCCACCUUCGCUCCUUCGGGAGUGUUGUUUGUGGGGGAGCGUGGGAUCCGAUCCGGUAGUAGGCAAGUGAUGGGGUGACGCAGGAGGGUAGCUCCGCCACGCGGUGGUUGUCGUGGUGUAAGCCUGUAGCCCGAGUCCUAGGUAAAUCCGGGGCUCAUCAAGGGUGAGAGGUGAUGCGUAGCCGAUUGAGGCGAAGAGGGUGAUCCCAUGCUGUCGAGAAAAGCCUCUAGCGAGUGCUGUUGCGGCCCGUACCCCAAACCGACACAGGUGGUCAGGUAGAGAAUACCGAGGCGAUCGAGCGAACUGUGGUUAAGGAAUUCGGCAAAAUACCUCCGUAACUUCGGGAGAAGGAGGGCCAUCUGCCUUGAAGCCCCUUCGCGGGCUAGGGGUGGGUGGUCGCAGAGACCAGGCCCAAGCGACUGUUUACUAAAAACACAGGUCCGUGCGAAGUCGCAAGACGAUGUAUACGGACUGACGCCUGCCCGGUGCUGGAACGUUAAGAGGACCUGUUAGCUCCUUUGGGGGCGAAGCGGAGAAUUUAAGCGCCAGUAAACGGCGGUGGUAACUAUAACCAUCCUAAGGUAGCGAAAUUCCUUGUCGGGUAAGUUCCGACCUGCACGAAUGGCGUAACGACUUGGGCGCUGUCUCGACCACAGACUCGGCGAAAUUGCAUUACGAGUAAAGAUGCUCGUUACGCGCGGCAGGACGGAAAGACCCCGGGACCUUUACUA